AGUCGUAACAAGGUAUCCGUAGGUGAACCUGCGGAUGGAUCAUUAACAAAGGUGUUUUUGAAGUUAUGUGAACAGUUUUGGUGGGGGUGUGGAGGUGGUGGUGGGUGAAUUGAGGGAGGGGUGUUUUGGAGAGGGAGUGGUGUUUGGUGCCACUCCUCUCCUCACUUGGUGUGGUUAGAUCAAAUCAAACCACACCACACCACCUCUCCUCCCUCACCCACCACCAAACACCACCCCAACUAUCAUGUAUACAAACUGAUGUCUGCCUAGUUUUCUGAACUAAAACAACUUUUAGCAACGGAUCUCUUGGCUCUC
Molecule: unclassified non-coding RNA, 315 nt
Filed under: fungal sp.
Lineage: Eukaryota; Fungi
Description: partial internal transcribed spacer region
Rfam family: Eukaryotic small subunit ribosomal RNA (bases 1-45)
Source: RNAcentral